Molecule: ribosomal RNA, 424 nt
Filed under: uncultured bacterium
Lineage: Bacteria
Description: bacterial SSU rRNA
Rfam family: Bacterial small subunit ribosomal RNA
Source: RNAcentral
GAAUCUUAGACAAUGGGGGAAACCCUGAUCUAGCCAUGCCGCGUGAGUGAUGAAGGCCUUAGGGUUGUAAAGCACUUUAAGUUGGGAGGAAGGGCAGUAAGCGAAUACCUUGCUGUUUUGACGUUACCGACAGAAUAAGCACCGGCUAACUCUGUGCCAGCAGCCGCGGUAAUACAGAGGGUGCAAGCGUUAAUCGGAAUUACUGGGCGUAAAGCGCGCGUAGGUGGUUCGUUAAGUUGGAUGUGAAAUCCCCGGGCUCAACCUGGGAACUGCAUCCAAAACUGGCGAGCUAGAGUAGGGCAGAGGGUGGUGGAAUUUCCUGUGUAGCGGUGAAAUGCGUAGAUAUAGGAAGGAACACCAGUGGCGAGGGCGACCACCUGGGCUCAUACUGACACUGAGGUGCGAAAGCGUGGGGAGCAAACAG